Solanum stenotomum is the source of this 1419-nucleotide RNA transcript. It is a transcript of the gene named phosphatidyl-N-methylethanolamine N-methyltransferase, with no coding region annotated. The record is from RefSeq and is a predicted model, not a curated record. The transcript has 3 exons. NCBI's taxonomy places the organism in Eukaryota, Viridiplantae, Streptophyta, Magnoliopsida, Solanales, Solanaceae.
CAAAUAAAGUAAAGGAAUACUGAGACAGAAAGGGGAACAAAGAGAAAUGGGAUUAUGGGCAUGUUUAGCAGUGAUAUCACCAUUUCCAUUUUACUACUAUCUCUGGACACAUCCUCAAAAAUGGGUCGAUCUCUGUGGAAGUGGACGUGACCCUUGCAAAGUUAUGGCUAUCGUCUCUCAUUUUAUAAAGUUGAUCCAAUUCAUCUCACUCUUAUCGGUUUCCACAUUUUCAUGGCCUCCUCCGCUUUAUUUUUGGCCCCUUUUCAUCUUUGGUCAGUUCCUUAAUUUCAGGGUGUAUCAACUGUUGGGAGAAGCUGGCACUUACUAUGGUGUCCGCUUUGGGAAGAAUAUCCCUUGGGAAACAGAGUUUCCUUUUGGAGUAAUAAGAGAUCCUCAGUAUGUCGGCAGCAUUUUGAGUUUGCUAGCUUGCCUCUCUUGGGUUCCUUUCUUGUAUAUUUUCUUAUGGGUAUUGGGAUAUGCAUUUAUAAUACAAGUUGAAUCCAAGGAAGAUCCAGCUACUCGUGCAAAGCCGCUUUCUUGAAUCUAUAGAAGAUACAUCUGCCAACUUCAAGGAACUAGUACUGCUUGCUUCUGCAUUCCGGAGAAGGAAUCCUUUUGAUAAAGUUCUUGUAUCAAUGGUUUCUUGAGUUCUCGAUUCCUUUUUUUAAAAUCAGACUCAGCAAUAUUUUGGACGAUUCUAUAAUCAACAAGGUUGGGUCCUUAGACAAAUACAUGUUAAGACAUUGAAGCAAUAAGUAGAAGACUUUUAGUUGGAGUGUUGGACCAACUAAGCUGUACUCUUUUAUGCUAGUGGAUGGAAUCACAAAAGACCAUCUCAUCAGUUGCUUUCAGAUAAUGAUUGUUCUUACCUUAGUUGCUCGGACUCUCCAAAAAUGUUGCCGCACCUUUUGAAGGAUCCAACACAGGCCUGAUGACAUUUUUGAAGAGUCCGAGCAACAUAGGUUUUUACUAUAGCAGAUUACUUUAUAAUUGUUUUAAUUCUUGCAUGUAGCUUAAAUUUGAUGCCACAAAAGAGUUGCAUAAAGUCAGUGAACAGAACAAUAAGUUGUAUAUUUCAUUAUCUCAUUUCAGUAUUCUACAAAGUUGUCAAAUUCAACAACUUAAAUGUUUCAAAGACAAUUCAGUCUCAAUCUAGCCAACUCAGAGCAAGUCCAUUCUGCAGGGGACCCAAUAUGGCUGCUGUUGAAAAUUUCUCACAGUCCAGCAAGAUCCCAUUCUCACGUGCACUUCCAAGUCCAACUUUGCGGUCCAAAUGUUACUAACUUUUCCUGUAUUUACAUUUGAACAAUAAUUUGUGUUUCCUUUUUCCUCCUAAGAACUUUUCAUACGAGUCAAGUUGGAAAAUAUUGAACAAUUGUCUAUACAAAGUAGUUGACUGCUCUGCUGGACUUUUGUUUA